GGGUAUGUAGCUCAGCGAUAGAGCAAUUGUCUAGCAUUCACAAGGCCCUGGGUUCAAUUCCCAGCACCG
Molecule: transfer RNA, 69 nt
Filed under: Cricetulus griseus (Chinese hamster)
Lineage: Eukaryota; Metazoa; Chordata; Mammalia; Rodentia; Cricetidae
Rfam family: tRNA
About the family: Transfer RNA (tRNA) molecules are approximately 80 nucleotides in length. Their secondary structure includes four short double-helical elements and three loops (D, anti-codon, and T loops).
Source: Rfam by way of RNAcentral